Molecule: ribosomal RNA, 497 nt
Filed under: uncultured bacterium
Lineage: Bacteria
Description: partial 16S ribosomal RNA
Rfam family: Bacterial small subunit ribosomal RNA
Source: RNAcentral
GAUGAACGCUGGCGGCGUGCCUAAUACAUGCAAGUCGAGCGAACAGACGAGGAGCUUGCUCCUCUGACGUUAGCGGCGGACGGGUGAGUAACACGUGGAUAACCUACCUAUAAGACUGGGAUAACUUCGGGAAACCGGAGCUAAUACCGGAUAAUAUAUUGAACCGCAUGGUUCAAUAGUGAAAGACGGUUUUGCUGUCACUUAUAGAUGGAUCCGCGCCGCAUUAGCUAGUUGGUAAGGUAACGGCUUACCAAGGCAACGAUGCGUAGCCGACCUGAGAGGGUGAUCGGCCACACUGGAACUGAGACACGGUCAAGACUCCUACGGGAGGCAGCAGUAGGGAAUCUUCCGCAAUGGGCGAAAGCCUGACGGAGCAACGCCGCGUGAAUGAUGAAGGUCUUCGGAUCGUAAAACUCUGUUAUUAGGGAAGAACAAAUGUGUAAGUAAAUAUGCACGUCUUGACGGUACCUAAUCAGAAAGCCACGGCUAACUACGUG